GAACAUGCCCCUAGUAAUCAAUAAAAAAGACUUAUCAGCCUUCGACAAUUAACACACGGUAGGGUACACGAGCUGUGUGAACGUGUGUGGAAAAAUCAUUGGCCGUGGAUGUUCAGAAAGUUACAGUAAAUUUUUGAUCUGCUGAAAUACUACAAUUGUAAUCCUUAAUUAAUCCAUUGAAAUUUAAUUUUUGGAAAGCUAAUAGGAGAUUCACUAUUGAGAAAUUGUGGCAAAGAAGAAAUGAAGAAAAUGAGUAAGUUGACGGAGGAUUGGUGUUCGAAAUGUAAUUGGCAGCAGUUGAGGGUUUGAAAAGGAGAAUGAUGGAUUUGGUGAUCUCUUGUGGAGAAUCCAGUUAUCUAUCUGAUGGAUUAAAUCUGAUAAUUAAUCGCCAAAUGAGAAUGUUAUCUAUUUGACAACAACAAUCUACCCUUACAUCAAACCAUGUAUUUUUUAAAAUAUUGCUUCUAUUUUUGUUAUUUUCUGAUCAAAACUUAAUUUAAUUAUAUGGGCACUGAAUUUUUUUUUCUUUCUAGAAUAACAUUUAUUAAUCAGUAAAAACACUAAUUUUCUCUACAUCUUAAACUCUAAAACUUUAUCUCACCCCUUCA
RNAcentral lists this long non-coding RNA (608 nucleotides) under Brassica napus (rape). Its description in RNAcentral is "long non-coding RNA (BNAP_LNC023381)". Lineage: Eukaryota; Viridiplantae; Streptophyta; Magnoliopsida; Brassicales; Brassicaceae. The record is from RNAcentral.